This 1347-nucleotide ribosomal RNA is filed under the name Vibrio sp. 2tb6. RNAcentral's name for it is "16S ribosomal RNA". It matches the Rfam family "Bacterial small subunit ribosomal RNA", at positions 90 to 1433 of the family's 1533-position model. Lineage: Bacteria; Pseudomonadati; Pseudomonadota; Gammaproteobacteria; Vibrionales; Vibrionaceae. RNAcentral also lists the same sequence under 5 other names. The record is from RNAcentral.
GUCGAGCGGCGGACGGGUGAGUAAUGCCUAGGAAAUUGCCCUGAUGUGGGGGAUAACCAUUGGAAACGAUGGCUAAUACCGCAUAAUGCCUACGGGCCAAAGAGGGGGACCUUCGGGCCUCUCGCGUCAGGAUAUGCCUAGGUGGGAUUAGCUAGUUGGUGAGGUAAUGGCUCACCAAGGCGACGAUCCCUAGCUGGUCUGAGAGGAUGAUCAGCCACACUGGAACUGAGACACGGUCCAGACUCCUACGGGAGGCAGCAGUGGGGAAUAUUGCACAAUGGGCGCAAGCCUGAUGCAGCCAUGCCGCGUGUGUGAAGAAGGCCUUCGGGUUGUAAAGCACUUUCAGUCGUGAGGAAGGUGGUGUAGUUAAUAGCUGCAUUAUUUGACGUUAGCGACAGAAGAAGCACCGGCUAACUCCGUGCCAGCAGCCGCGGUAAUACGGAGGGUGCGAGCGUUAAUCGGAAUUACUGGGCGUAAAGCGCAUGCAGGUGGUUUGUUAAGUCAGAUGUGAAAGCCCGGGGCUCAACCUCGGAAUAGCAUUUGAAACUGGCAGACUAGAGUACUGUAGAGGGGGGUAGAAUUUCAGGUGUAGCGGUGAAAUGCGUAGAGAUCUGAAGGAAUACCGGUGGCGAAGGCGGCCCCCUGGACAGAUACUGACACUCAGAUGCGAAAGCGUGGGGAGCAAACAGGAUUAGAUACCCUGGUAGUCCACGCCGUAAACGAUGUCUACUUGGAGGUUGUGGCCUUGAGCCGUGGCUUUCGGAGCUAACGCGUUAAGUAGACCGCCUGGGGAGUACGGUCGCAAGAUUAAAACUCAAAUGAAUUGACGGGGGCCCGCACAAGCGGUGGAGCAUGUGGUUUAAUUCGAUGCAACGCGAAGAACCUUACCUACUCUUGACAUCCAGAGAACUUUCCAGAGAUGGAUUGGUGCCUUCGGGAACUCUGAGACAGGUGCUGCAUGGCUGUCGUCAGCUCGUGUUGUGAAAUGUUGGGUUAAGUCCCGCAACGAGCGCAACCCUUAUCCUUGUUUGCCAGCGAGUAAUGUCGGGAACUCCAGGGAGACUGCCGGUGAUAAACCGGAGGAAGGUGGGGACGACGUCAAGUCAUCAUGGCCCUUACGAGUAGGGCUACACACGUGCUACAAUGGCGCAUACAGAGGGCAGCAAGCUAGCGAUAGUGAGCGAAUCCCAAAAAGUGCGUCGUAGUCCGGAUUGGAGUCUGCAACUCGACUCCAUGAAGUCGGAAUCGCUAGUAAUCGUGGAUCAGAAUGCCACGGUGAAUACGUUCCCGGGCCUUGUACACACCGCCCGUCACACCAUGGGAGUGGGCUGCAAAAGAAGUAGGUAG